Molecule: ribosomal RNA, 234 nt
Filed under: uncultured fungus
Lineage: Eukaryota; Fungi
Description: partial 18S ribosomal RNA
Rfam family: Eukaryotic small subunit ribosomal RNA
Source: RNAcentral
UUGGAGGGCAAGUCUGGUGCCAGCAGCCGCGGUAAUUCCAGCUCCAAUAGCGUAUAUUAAAGUUGUUGCAGUUAAAAAGCUCGUAGUUGAAUUUCGGGAUCAAUUUAUUGGUCGUGCUAUUGUACGUACUGGUAUUAUUGAUUCCUACCUUCUGACGAACCAUGAUGUCAUUAAUUUGGUGUCUUGGGGAAUCAGGACUGUUACUUUGAAAAAAUUAGAGUGUUUAAAGCAGGC